Long non-coding RNA from Thamnophis sirtalis, 465 nucleotides. RefSeq lists it as uncharacterized. The record is from RefSeq and is a predicted model, not a curated record. NCBI's taxonomy places the organism in Eukaryota, Metazoa, Chordata, Lepidosauria, Squamata, Natricidae.
CUGUUCUCGCCGAGCCCGCGGCCUUUGCCGACCUUGCGCAGAUCUUCCCAGCCUAGACGCGGUUUCAGUCAGCUCCUGCUGCGGAUUCAAGGGCGGAGGCCGUCCACGCGUUUCUCCCUCACCCCCUCCUCAAAGGGUGAGCGGGCCGAGAGGCAACCACCGGCGCAGUCAUGCUGGCUUUGCAGAAGGGGCUGCGGUUGCUGAAUGGGACCGUGAGGAGCCAGAUCCUCCCGAGGGCAAACACGUCCACCAAGUCAGGAAAGAACAGUUUCUUGGAAAAUGCCAUUGCAUUCACCGUGAUUUUUACUGGUGGCUUUUUCCCAAUUUGUUGGGUUAUGGGCAAUCUGGACAGUUAUAGUAAAUGAGAAGAAAAAGCUUUGGGAACAUGGUCACGAAGAAGAAAAUGUCAAUGUUUGUUAUUCCCAGAGGCUUUCAUUAUUAAAACUAAAAUUUGAAAAUUCACAA